GCUACCUCGUUUAAUUCGAGAGAGCAGUCUGUGGUUGGAGUCGUGGUGGUGGUAGCUGCGUGCGUUCUGUAUGCUGGUGUCGCCUCCGCUGGACGGCCAGCGACGAGCGUUAGCAUGGACCUGCUCCAUGGAAGAGGCAGAAUCAGAAGAAAGCUUCUCGAGAACGGCCUCGGUUUGACUCCUCAAAUGGGAUGGAAUAGCUGGAACCACUUUCAGUGUAACAUCAACGAAAAUUUGAUAAAGGAAACAGCGGAUGCGAUGGUCUCAUCCGGACUUGCUGCACUAGGAUAUGAGUAUGUAAACUUAGAUGAUUGCUGGGGUGAGCUUAACAGAGAUUCUCAGG
Long non-coding RNA from Eucalyptus grandis, 343 nucleotides. RefSeq lists it as uncharacterized. Lineage: Eukaryota; Viridiplantae; Streptophyta; Magnoliopsida; Myrtales; Myrtaceae. The transcript is spliced from 4 exons. The record is from RefSeq and is a predicted model, not a curated record.